GACGAACGCUGGCGGCGCGCCUAACACAUGCAAGUCGAACGGAGCUGCGAGAAGCUUGCUUUUCUUAGCUUAGUGGCGAACGGGUGAGUUACGUGUGAUUAACCCGCCCUGGAGUUGGGGACAACAGUUGGAUACGACUGCUAAUACUGCAUAAGCCCACGAUCCGGUAUCGGAUUGAGGGUUAAGGUUUUAUUCGCUUCAGUAUCGACUGGCGUCCAAUUAGGUAGUUGGUGAGGUAACGGCCCACUAAGCCGACAGCUGGUAGCCGGGCUGGGAGGUUGACAGGGCACAUGGGAACUGAGCCAAGGCCCAGAGUCCGGCAGGAGGGGGCAGUGGGGGAUAAUGCACGGUAGGGGGAUGCCUGAUGCAGCGGCGCGGGGUGAAGGAAGAAGGUUUGCAGAUUGUAAACUACUGUCGUUAGGGACGAUAGUGACGGUACCUGACGAGAAAGCACCGGCUAACUACGUG
Molecule: ribosomal RNA, 468 nt
Filed under: uncultured bacterium
Lineage: Bacteria
Description: partial 16S ribosomal RNA
Rfam family: Bacterial small subunit ribosomal RNA
Source: RNAcentral